UGCUAACAUGCCGUUCGUUGAGUUGG
Molecule: non-coding RNA, 26 nt
Filed under: Rattus norvegicus (Norway rat)
Lineage: Eukaryota; Metazoa; Chordata; Mammalia; Rodentia; Muridae
Source: RNAcentral